GUGGGGAAUAUUGGACAAUGGGCGCAAGCCUGAUCCAGCAAUGCCGCGUGAGUGAAGAAGGCCUUAGGGUUGUAAAGCUCUUUCGCCUGCGACGAUGAUGACGGUAGCAGGAGAAGAAGCCCCGGCUAAUUCCGUGCCAGCAGCCGCGGUAAUACGGAAGGGGCUAGCGUUGUUCGGAAUCACUGGGCGUAAAGCGCGCGUAGGCGGCCGGUCAAGUGCGGCGUGAAAGUCCUGGGCUCAACCUGGGGACGGCGCUGCGGACUGUUCGGCUGGAGUCCGGAAGAGGGUGGUGGAAUUCCGAGUGUAGAGGUGAAAUUCGUAGAUAUUCGGAGGAACACCGGUGGCGAAGGCGGCCACCUGGUCCGGUACUGACGCUGAAGCGCGAAAGCGUGGGGAGCAAACAGGAUUAGAUACCCCUGUAGUCC
This 425-nucleotide ribosomal RNA is filed under the name uncultured bacterium. Its description in RNAcentral is "bacterial SSU rRNA". It matches the Rfam family "Bacterial small subunit ribosomal RNA", at positions 354 to 796 of the family's 1533-position model. The record is from RNAcentral.